UCUUGCUAAUAAAUUCUUGUUAAUUUCAGCUUUCUGUGAGUGAAAAAACUGACACUGUGAAGAAGCUGAAGAAAGGAGAGGGUGGAGAGGAAGAAGUGGACAUCGGUGAUGAGAUGCCAAUGAGCAGCUUCCCCCCUGUGGAGAUUGAGAAGGAUGAUGGUGGUCGUGAUAAUGGCCAUGCCUCCAGCAGUUCUAGCAGUUCCAGCAGCUCAGGCAGUGAUUCAUCUUCGUCAAGUGAUUCUGAUUCGGGGAGCUCUUCAGGGAGUGAUUCUGAUGCAGAUGACGCACAGUCACGGGGCCUAAAAUCCAAGGAAUUGUCAAAGACUUGAGGAGGGGAGUUAUGGUAAAUUGU
This is a non-coding RNA of Camellia sinensis, 352 nucleotides long. The record is from RefSeq and is a predicted model, not a curated record. NCBI's taxonomy places the organism in Eukaryota, Viridiplantae, Streptophyta, Magnoliopsida, Ericales, Theaceae.